This 459-nucleotide ribosomal RNA is filed under the name uncultured bacterium. RNAcentral's name for it is "partial 16S ribosomal RNA". It matches the Rfam family "Bacterial small subunit ribosomal RNA", at positions 338 to 795 of the family's 1533-position model. The record is from RNAcentral.
CCUACGGGGAGCAGCAGUGAGGAAUAUUGGUCAAUGGCCGGAAGGCUGAACCAGCCAAGCCGCGUGAAGGACGAAGGUGCCAAGCAUUGUAAACUUCUUUUGUCAAGGGACAAAAUCAGGCUCGAGAGCCUGACCGAGGGUACUUGAAGAAAAAGCAUCGGCUAACUCCGUGCCAGCAGCCGCGGUAAUACGGAGGAUGCGAGCGUUAUCCGGAUUUAUUGGGUUUAAAGGGUGCGUAGGCGGACUGUUAAGUCAGCGGUAAAAGCCCGGGGCUCAACCCCGGCGAGCCGUUGAAACUGGCUGUCGUGAGAUGUCGAGAGGUAUGCGGAAUGCGCAGUGUAGCGGUGAAAUGCAUAGAUAUCACGCAGAACUCCGAUUGCGAAGGCAGCAUACCGGCGCUCAACUGACGCUGAGGCACGAAAGCGUGGGGAUCGAACAGGAUUAGAUACCCCUGUAGUC